UUAAGUUCAGCGGGUAUCCCUACCUGAUCCGAGGUCAACCAUAAAGAAUGGGGGGGUUCUGACAGGUGGUUACCUGGACCCUAUAGCGAGAGGAUUACUACGCUUAGAGCCAGACGGCACCGCCACUGAUUUUAAGGGCCGCGAAACCGCGAACCCCAAGACAAGCCGAGGGCUUGAGUGGUUAUAAUGACGCUCGAACA
This 200-nucleotide unclassified non-coding RNA is filed under the name Cadophora sp. RNAcentral's name for it is "partial internal transcribed spacer 2". Lineage: Eukaryota; Fungi; Ascomycota; Leotiomycetes; Helotiales; Ploettnerulaceae. The record is from RNAcentral.